Long non-coding RNA from Phyllostomus hastatus (greater spear-nosed bat), 466 nucleotides. RefSeq lists it as uncharacterized. The record is from RefSeq and is a predicted model, not a curated record. The transcript has 3 exons. NCBI's taxonomy places the organism in Eukaryota, Metazoa, Chordata, Mammalia, Chiroptera, Phyllostomidae.
AGCAGGGAAGGCUCCUCUCUGUUAUCUGCAGCCUCUACAGGGGCUGCUCACCUGUGUCUGGAGGAUCUGCGUCCGGGGUGACUCACACACGUGGCUGGCGGUCGGUGCUGCCUGGUGGCCGAGCUGUCUGUUGGCCUGAGCUGUCCAGCAUGCGCUGCACCCAGAGGUGAAGCCAGAUUGCCGGAUGCCCCCAGAGCUCUCUUCUCCUUCCUCCCACAGUGGCAGUGUUUCAGCUGGAUGCAUGACUGCCAAAAAGGUCAACAUUUCCCAGCUUCCCUUGCAGCAAAGUGAAGCCAUGCAACUUACUUCUGGCCCAUGAGACGUGAUCCCAAGUGGAAAGGGCAGGACUGGACUUCCUCUUACCACCGCGAGGAAAGCGCACACCAGGGAGCCUUAGUCCCAUCAGCCUGGGAAUGAAGGCAAAGGAAGACCUGAGUGUGAUCGGAAGUCCGGGGUCCUGGCCUGG